RNAcentral lists this ribosomal RNA (759 nucleotides) under uncultured Neisseria sp. Its description in RNAcentral is "bacterial SSU rRNA". It matches the Rfam family "Bacterial small subunit ribosomal RNA", at positions 28 to 776 of the family's 1533-position model. The record is from RNAcentral. Lineage: Bacteria; Pseudomonadati; Pseudomonadota; Betaproteobacteria; Neisseriales; Neisseriaceae.
AUUGAACGCUGGCGGCAUGCUUUACACAUGCAAGUCGGACGGCAGCACAGAGAAGCUUGCUUCUUGGGUGGCGAGUGGCGAACGGGUGAGUAACAUAUCGGAACGUACCGAGUAAUGGGGGAUAACUAAUCGAAAGAUUAGCUAAUACCGCAUAUUCUCUGAGGAGGAAAGCAGGGGACCUUCGGGCCUUGCGUUAUUCGAGCGGCCGAUAUCUGAUUAGCUAGUUGGUGGGGUAAAGGCCUACCAAGGCGACGAUCAGUAGCGGGUCUGAGAGGAUGAUCCGCCACACUGGGACUGAGACACGGCCCAGACUCCUACGGGAGGCAGCAGUGGGGAAUUUUGGACAAUGGGCGCAAGCCUGAUCCAGCCAUGCCGCGUGCCUGAAGAAGGCCUUCGGGUUGUAAAGGACUUUUGUCAGGGAAGAAAAGGACAGGGUUAAUACCUCUGUUUGAUGACGGUACCUGAAGAAUAAGCACCGGCUAACUACGUGCCAGCAGCCGCGGUAAUACGUAGGGUGCGAGCGUUAAUCGGAAUUACUGGGCGUAAAGCGAGCGCAGACGGUUACUUAAGCAGGAUGUGAAAUCCCCGGGCUCAACCUGGGAACUGCGUUCUGAACUGGGUGACUAGAGUGUGUCAGAGGGAGGUAGAAUUCCACGUGUAGCAGUGAAAUGCGUAGAGAUGUGGAGGAAUACCGAUGGCGAAGGCAGCCUCCUGGGAUAACACUGACGUUCAUGCUCGAAAGCGUGGGUAGCAAACAGG